This 502-nucleotide ribosomal RNA is filed under the name uncultured bacterium. RNAcentral's name for it is "bacterial SSU rRNA". It matches the Rfam family "Bacterial small subunit ribosomal RNA", at positions 29 to 516 of the family's 1533-position model. The record is from RNAcentral.
AGUGAACGCUGGCGGCAGGCCUAAUACAUGCAAGUCGAACGGCAGCACAGCAGAGCUUGCUCUGUGGGUGGCGAGUGGCGGACGGGUGAGGAAUACAUGGGAAUCUGCCCAGUCGUGGGGGAUAACGUAGGGAAACUUACGCUAAUACCGCAUACGACCUACGGGUGAAAGAGGGGGACCUUCGGGCCUCUCGCGAUUGGAUGAGCCUAUGCCGGAUUAGCUAGUUGGCGGGGUAAGAGCCCACCAAGGCGACGAUCCGUAGCUGGUCUGAGAGGAUGAUCAGCCACACUGGAACUGAGACACGGUCCAGACUCCUACGGGAGGCAGCAGUGGGGAAUAUUGGACAAUGGGCGCAAGCCUGAUCCAGCAAUGCCGCGUGUGUGAAGAAGGCCUUCGGGUUGUAAAGCACUUUUGUUUGGGUAAGAAAUACCGGUUGGUUAAUACCUGAUCGGGAUGACGGUACCAAAAGAAAUAAGACACCGGCUAACUUCGUAGUCCAGAC